ACCAGAUGCCCCAAGAUCUGGCAAACAAGACAAACAAAGCAUAACUAUGGACAACCAAACUGGAAAAAGAGGAGGGGAACCCUUUAUCAGGUCGGACAAACCACCAUCUCUUGCCCAAAGGGCAAGGAAGGCGACCAAAAAGAGAACUCGACUGACUUGAGACUGAAAAGGAAAGGAAACUAUAAUGAGAUUUUCUUUCUCAAGAAGGACUAGAGAGAGCGUCCAG
This 226-nucleotide unclassified non-coding RNA is filed under the name Hevea brasiliensis (rubber tree). The record is from RNAcentral. Lineage: Eukaryota; Viridiplantae; Streptophyta; Magnoliopsida; Malpighiales; Euphorbiaceae.